AUGCUAGGUGUGGUUGACUGGAACAUGAAAUUUCUCUAUGUUCUACCUGGUUGGGAGGGUUCAUCAUCGGACUCGAGAGUGCUAAAAGAUGCUAUGAGAAUCGAUCACGAAGAUGCAUUUGUUGUACACAGGGGAAAGUACUAUCUUAUUGAUGUUGGCUAUACCAAUGGACCUGGAUUUCUAUCUCCAUUCAGAUCCACUCGGUACCACUUGAAAGAGUGGGUGGCAAGUCAACAACAACCCCAAAAUGAAAGAGAGUUGUAUAACUUGCGCCAUGCUCGUGCUAGAAAUGUUGUGGAGAGAACCUUUGGCUUGUUGAAGAAAAAAUGGGUCAUCUUGCAUUCUUGUUCUUUCUUUGACAUAGAGGACCAGGUAACACAUGUCUAUUUGAUUGUUCAUAUGGGCCAUCAUGUGUUCCUUCUUUGA
Molecule: ribosomal RNA, 426 nt
Filed under: Triticum aestivum (bread wheat)
Lineage: Eukaryota; Viridiplantae; Streptophyta; Magnoliopsida; Poales; Poaceae
Description: partial small subunit ribosomal RNA
Source: RNAcentral